CGGAAGAGAGUGAGGAACACGAUGGUGCCCUUGGCCGUCGCCGAGACCUCGUCAUCGACGAGAUUUCUGGCGGUCAUGCCUCGCCUCUGUUCUCGGGUCACUGAGGGUGGGGUCCGUUGACCUGUGGAGUCCUUAGUCUCUCUCUCCUUAGUUUGAAUUUAGGGUUUGUGCUGUUUUAGGAAAAUUCAUAUAUAGAGUUUGCAAAAUCCUCUUGAGGUGAUCCAAAUUUUGUUGAGUUCCUUAGAUAGUCUAGUUUUUAAUAAAAAUAUAAUAUGCACCAUGUUUUCUGUGAAAAAUAAUUGUUAUGAAUUAAUCUUGUUAAUUUUGUGUAAAUUCAUAUCAUUUGAUAUACUGCUCCAAUUGCUGUGAAAUUUUUAUGCUAUGCUCUGAGUAAUAUUAGAAUAAUCUGAUAAAUAUUUCAUGAUUUUUGGAGAGCUGUAUCUCUGAUAUGUAAUUUAUGUUAAUACUAUGGCUUGAUUUCAUAUUUAAAUCAUAAUAAAUGUUUGAAGCUUAUGCUGGUGUUCUCCUUUGGUGUCAAGCUUGUUUAUAGUAAUAGUAAUAUGUAAAUAAUCUAAAAUAUGUUGUUUGACACUAUCUAAUCCAUGUUACUUAAUUUAUGAAAUAAGUACCUUGUUACUUGUUAAUUACUUAUCUUAAGUUUGGCAUGUGCAAUUGCUCUGAAAAUUUUAUGGUAAUGUCCAGAUGCCAUGCUUGUGCUUCUGUAAGUUUUGUAGAUUUUUCUGAGCACUCUUGCUGGUAUCUUGUAAUUAUGUCCUUUUAUGAAAUUAAAUUAAUAAAUGCCUUGUUAUUGCAUGUUUAGGUGUCAACAUGUGAUGUUCUGGUAAUCUUAAGUUAUGUUUGUUCUUAUAAGCCACUUGGUUGACACUAAAUAUGUUUUUGCUAUGGCAUCAAAUAAUUAAUUAAAGGUUUAUAGCUGUUCUGGACAGCAAGGGAGUAAUCUGACCUUUGCUUGAUGAUAACUUGGUUUCCUGAAACACUUGUCUAAAUCAAAGAUGUUGUAAACUUUGUGAGCUAGCUGCAGUUUAAAUUUGGGAUCAAUUGGUCCAGUAGUUUCAAAGUUAUGGCUCUUCCAAGUUGGGUUCCAGAACUAGGUGCUCUCUGUUUUUCUGGGACAGAACCUGGAACUUUAUUUAGUUGACCUGUUUAACUUAUGAAUAUUACUAUGAUAUCUAAAGAUGAAAUGUAAACAAUUUCAUAAGCUUUCCAGAAUGUCCUCAUUCAUGUUUGUUGGAUCUGUAUAGCUUUAGUUAUGAUUGGUUCUUUGAGCUGCCCUGUUAUUUGGUUGUUGCAGUUUAUGGUUUAACUUGAUGAAUCUUGCUAAGUUAGUUAGUCAUCUUUUGUGAGCUUGUUAUGGGAGUCAUUCCGUAAAUGAGUGUCCAGUGAAGUUCUAAACAUGUUACCAAGCAUUCAUCCUCAUCUAGUAUGCACACAUUUCUUACUCAUCAUGCAUGCAAUAGGUGCACAGGAAGCGGCAACAUCGUUCGAGCUCGAUCGGGUGAACCACGAAGGCCCGGAGAUCACUCAGGAGGCGGCGGUCCAGCUAGCCGGACAAGAGGAGCCCAAAGAGGAGGUCGAGUGCCCUAAUCACGAUCCAGCUUUGUUCGUGAAAGGCAAGCCCCAGAGCAUCUUAAGUCUCCCACUUUAAUUUCAAGAGUAUACUUGAUUAUGUUAUAUCUAUUGAUGCAUUAUGUAUAGGAGUUGUGAUGAAACCCUUGCUGCAUUAUACCCUUUUUCUUGUCCAGAUAUCUUACCACUACCUGGUUGUAGAGUUAGGAUCGAGUAGCAGCAUAGCCAUGCUUUAAUCGGUAGAAGUCGGGUGAUAUAUUGUCACCUGCGCGAAAUAGGGUUGUGUCGGAUCACGAUUCACUAUAGGAGCUAUCAUGGGAAAGAACCUGAUUAAAAUGACUUAAGCCGGGCGGAGUUUUGCAAGGUUGUAGUAACUCCGUCUGUGGCAGCUAAAGACCGAUCAUUGUACGUCCUCUUGUCAUGUUGAACGCAUGCCUGACACUUAGUUGGCCGGAUAACUCGUUCCGACCGCGAAGCCUAGUAGUAUGACACAGGCCGGAAGACCGACAAUUAUAAAGUACGCACUACCGGAGGAAGUGCGGUGUGCGGGGGACCAUUGGCGUAAGACCAAAGGCAGGUGAGUUAAAAGUCCUGACCUCCCUGGUGGAGUGGUAGCCUUGAGAGUGCGGCGCUGAUCGGAGCCGCGAUUCCUGAGUCGUACCAAAGGUGACCCGCUUGCUCUCUGACGGGGGAUGCUUGGUUGAGUGCUAGGAAUAACCCUCCAGCUAGAUUGGAAUCGAUUCGAAUUGCCGUCUCUCCCGGAUAGUGAGAACUUAACAGAGCAGCGGCAAACGUAGCAUUCACUAAAUACAAUGGUUCUUGUUAAUGAUGUUGAUGAUAGCAUGGAAGAACAUAUGAUGAACUUGAUAUGGUUAUUAUUGUUUGUAAUAAUCCAGUGAAGUGUUUAGUCCAGGUGCUAAUCUAGUAGUAGGCUAAUGAUGAUUAAUAUGAUGCUUUUACAAAUGGUGUAGUAUCCACUUAAGCUUUUAGCAAAUGUUAAGUCAAGCCAGCUACACUUUAUACUCAGCCUUGCAUGAUCCUUGGUGUCUUUUUGUUUUGUUAGACGGGUAAGUCUAGCUGAGUACAUCCUCGUACUCAGGGUUUAUUCCCAAGUGUUGCGAUGAUGUCUUUUAUGAUGGCUUCUGCAAGACCUGCCUCCAUCCCACUGGGGAUGAGGACUAAACCGUUGGGCGCGGUUCUCUAACGACUUCGUACCACGAUGCUUUUGGUGGAUGAGAUGAGACUCUGGCAGUAACAAGAACUUAUAAAAGGUGUACGUGUAAACUAUUUUGCUUCUGCUACUCCAAAACUUGUGUUGUAAUAACUAAGAAACUCUGAUGUGGUGCCGCUUCGUCGGCAAUGAAUGACUAUGUAACAUUCACUGUAUUAGGUUGAACUAUUAUGAUCUUGGUUUGUUGCAAGUUGGUUUGAAGUCCUUCGAUAUUUCAGUUGACUACCGGGAUUAUAUGGACUCAUGUCUGGAAACUUGAUUGCUAGUUGAUCGUUUCUACACUUGAACUCUUAUAAUUUGGUCGGUUCUGUGACAUCAGUGACUGGAAUUGAUGCAGCUAUCUAUGCUAUCUGUGUUUCUAUCAUCUUGUUGAAACUCGUCUAACUUUUGACAAAUGAACAAAGAGUUUUAAGCUUGGCAUUGAUGUUCUCAAUGAUCUUGUCAUUGUAGGACAGCUUCUUGGUCAGAUUCUCGUUGAUUUUAGCUUGCCCUAUGACCAGAUCUUUCAAGGAAGGCAGAUUGAAGAAAUUACCCUGCGGGCGGUGCUGAUUGUUCCACCCAUUGUUACCUUGUUGUGGUGGCCGAAACCCAUUGUUGGCAUAUGCUACUUCUUCUUGGGUUUCGGGGCAAUUGUUCCUGAAUGGCCAUCAUCACCACAAACUUCACACGAUGUGUGUGAGUUCACUGCUUGGACGGUGCCCAUGUUGGGAUUUGCAACUUGUCCAUCCAUCCUUUGCAACACCAAGUCUAUUUUUGCGGCAAGCACAACUGCCUCAUUCGCAGAUUGCGAGCCUUUUUGUGUUUUCCUUCCUUCUCUCCAGCUUUGAUUUGCCACCAUCUUCUCGAUGAGGGUAGUAGCUUCAUUAAUGGUGACGGAAAGGAAUGCACCUCCAACUGUGGCAUCUACGUGCCCCUUUGACAUGGCCGUGAGGCCUUCGUAGAAGUUCUAGAGCACAAGCCAGUCUUCCAUUCCAUGAUGAGGAUAGGCUCGGAUGUACUCCUGAAGCCUCUCCCAUGCUUCGGGUAUGGACUCAAGUGGAGACUGCUGGAAGUUAGAGAUCUUCCCCCUCAGAGCGCUGGUCCUGCUCAUCGGGAAGAACUUGGUGAGGAAUGUCGCGGAGCACUUUUCCCAUGUGUCAACAGCUUCCUUGCUCUGAUAAAACCAUUGUUUCGCCUUUCCGGCGAGGGAAAUGGGAAACAAACGGAGCCUGAUACUGUUCUGCGUGACAUCCUUGAUGACGACGGUGUUGCACAGCUCAAGGAAGUUCUAAAGGUGGGCGUUGGCAUCCUCACUUGGCAGGCCACAGAAUUGGCUUGCUUGCACCAUAGAGAUGAGGCCAGUGCGGAUCUUGAAGCUUCUAUUCCCCAUAUUGACAGUGGGCCCAGUCGGCACGUUGGCAACAGUAGGAGUGGAGUAGUCACGGAGUGUCUUGGCUAUAGCGAUUGGUGCGGUUGGUGCUGGAACGGUUGAUUCGCUUGCCUGUUGCGUAGCAGAAGAAGAGAUGGUACGGACCCUUCUCUUCGUUAGGAGUGUUUCUAGAUCACUGUGGAAGUUUGCUGGCAAGUUGAAACCGCUCAUACACUAUCCUGUUUUCAUUCCAAUAAAAAGAGGAAGACAACAGUAAAGUUAUCCUGCUUAAUCUAUGGCUACCAAUGCUUAUUAUGCAAUCAAGUUUUAUGCUAGUAUGAGUUUUGCCUUCCCCGGCAACGGCGCCAGAAAUGCUUGUUGGCAUUUCUUAGUGUCACUACUAAAAAUAGACCAUAGAUCCAUCCUUGCAAUGGCACCAGAAAUGUCAGGUGUUGGCAUACCGUAACUGUCGCCACAUCAGAGAGAUAACCCAAGGCAACUCGAGGGCGUUGGCCUUAGCAGUGCAGUCGGGUAACAAUAAUUAGGAAUGCCGGAUUGGCCUUCCUAACCAUCCUUACUUGCGAUAUGCAAAGCUGUGGCACUACGCUUGAAAGUGCACAAGGAUUACAAUCUUAAGUAACGGUACUUAGGUAUGCCAAUCGAUAGUUCGAAUGAAGAAGUAAUAUAACUGCAAGUGGACAGAACUAUCAUUGUAGCAUUUCAACCCGUGAGUAUUCAAGGGUGUCGAAUUUAUAAUUCCCAUGGAAAUGCAAAGGGAUCAAACAUGGUGUAAACAUGAUUACUUAUUGAAUGCUUGGUAGACAUAGAGUAAAUAGGAAUAAACAUGAUAUUCAAGAUAGUGGACACACAUUGGAUCAACCUCAAGGAUAAAAUAGAAGAGAAAUAAUAAAUAAAGAAUAAAUAAAUAAAUCUACUUGACUAGGCAUGGGUCACAUAUAACUAUGCAUAGAACUAUUAGCGGAUCAUCUAAUUAGCAAUAAAUAGAUUUGGAACUAAGCCUGAGAUGUGGGGAGAUCCCCGCAGCUGGAUACCCAGCCGAUAGAGACUUUACAGAACUCCUAUCGGAAUACCUGAUCGUGGGGGAAUGCAAAGGAUGACAGAGCUGUCACUACCCUGCCAUCUACCCCUCUACCCGAAAGAUACCGGCACAUCCACUAAUUCCCGCAUACCUGAACACCAUGUUCACGUAAUUGGAAACAACUCCUAACCCCCGCGCCCCCCCUUCGGAGUGACAGGCUAGGCUAAGAGCAACCAUCAUAGCACAGUGAACCAUCAUUCCAUUCCUAAUUCUAAUCCUAGUCAUACUAAUCUGAUGAACAAUGAUGAACAUAUCAAGGACAUAGCACAAGAACUAAGAACUAGUUCAUAUACUAUGAACAUGAUAAGAACACAACCAUACUCUAGUUCAUAUGCAUAAUCAUAUAAAGAAAAAUAGAACUUGCUCAUGGAAGAAGAUUGAAUAUUAUUCAUACCAAGAAGAUCCUUUUUUCCAAGGAGACAAGCUCUCCUUGCUAGCUCUUGCCUUUCUCUACUACUAAUCUAGACUAAAGAUACAAGUGAGAGGUGUGAGGUAAAUUGACUCCAAAUGAUGUGUGUGUUGAAAAGGGGGGAGUGCCUCUCUUUUUAUGGUGGAACUAGGAUGGUUCGUCGCAUCUAAAUUUGGUAGUAGGUGAAACCGUCCUUUGCAUGGCGGCAUGCAACCGCCUGAGAAAGAUGGUCCCGGUUUGCCGCCUCCAGGGGUGCGCCGCAGCAGGGCACGGCCGCACACUGGGUGGGUCCCCCCGGCCACCGCCUUCGCAUGGUCAGUUUGGCUCUCGGCCUGGAUCUCUCCUGUGGUUACGAUUAGGCCCAGUUCUGCGUUGUUCGGGCCUUUCUCUAUUUUCUUAGUUUCGCAUUUCUGAAUACGUCUUUGAUGGCGGGGAAACGGGCGGCUAAGACCCGCCUCCGCGUCAGCAGAGACAAAUAUAAAUUUAAAUGGGACAAUAUGAAAAGAACAGGUAUUGCGAGUCCAUACUUCCAUAAUUCUUAUAUUUAUAUAAAAAUUAUGUUAAUUACAUCUCCGAAGAGAACACCCCUGAUUAAGAGUUCCAACAUGAGUACAUGGAAAAUAAGAUUACAUCAUAUGGCUUGCUAUUACAAACUACAAAAGAAAAUGAAAUCUUCAGUCUUGUAGUCACGGACGGAUGCAUGCAUAGGCCUGGCAUAAACUUGAACUUGAUAUUCAUCAUUUCUUUUGAGCAUGACACUUUAUUUGUUGAGCAGGUAAUAUAUAUUCCCUUUAUGGUUGGUCGCUAGCAUGUUUAGCUUCUUAGCAACCCGUGAUGACAACACGCACAUUUAAUCCAUGCAAACUUUUGGGAAUGUCAUAUUAUUUAUUUACGACAUAACAUAUUGACUGCGUAGCCUAACCCAUAUUUUUCUUCUUUUAGUGUUUGAUCUUGCUGUAGGGCUUCAAGCUGAGCUCGGGACAUUAACUUUUCGAAUGGUGCGAGCUGCCCCCGGCCAUUGCAAAGAGAUGGGCCAGUAGAUAUAUCAUAUCCCAUCUGUUGCAUAAUAUAAAGAACUUUGUCAUCAUAUAAAGAGAUAGGCAAUGUUUGAUCAUCUCUAUUUAACAAAGUAACAUGUGUAGACAUUUUUGUUUUCUCAUCCCUCUCAACUUGGGCUUGUUUUAUUUUAUAUUGCACCAAAGGAGGUAGAGGGGUUGGAAAUGAAAUACCUCUAUUUUGAGAGGACUUCUUAUUUACGACGCGAAAUAUUGGGUCACCUUCCUUUCUUUGAUUACUUGGUAUAUACAGAUACACCUUUCGGCUCGACGAGGACUCGCCAACCUCUAUCUUUGGGAUAUUUUGUUCUAGUGGCAAUGUUGUUUUUGGUUUUGAGACUUUGUCAACAGGUUCAAAAUAGAACUUUGCAUCAGCGUAGAAGGUUUCCGCUGUUGUGAAUGGUUUUUUAUCCGCAAAAAUCCUUACUAUGUCUCCCAAAGGAUCUUUGUACUUGAUGCAUUGGUGGAGAGUAGAUGGAAUAACUCCAUUUUCAUGCAGCCAUGGGCGACCAAUAAGAGCGUUAUAUGAGGUUGUCGCAUCAAUCACAUAAAACUUAACAUAGGUUGUGAAGUUCUCAAACUUUAACACUAGGGAUAUGGUACCCAAUGCUUCUUGACCUGACUGGUUGAAGCCAUGAAUCACAACAUUUGAGCGGCAUAAGUCUCCUUUAGAAUACCCAAUCUUUUUGAGGGUACGCAUGGGUAGCAAGUUUAUGGCUGAACCACCAUCAAUCAUUAUACGAUUAACGGGAAGAUCAUCAAUCUCGCCGAACAUAAAAAGCGGUCUGUUAUGUUUUUUAUUUCCUAAUAACAGAUCUUCAUCAUUGAAUGUGAUACUUUGAGUUUGGGGUAAUUUUACUUCUGCUUGUGAAACCUCAACCCUAUAAUCCUCAGGGAUGGAAAGUGCAGUAAUAAGUCCAUUUCGCAAAUCAGAAGAGAGACACAAAGCAUCAUACACAGAAAGCAUAGCUGGUAUUUUCUUCAAGUGUGAGAUUACAUCAUACUUGACCGACACAUUAGGAGUAUGGUCAGUCACAUCAUUCGGAGUUACAUUUGGGGGAUUUCUUUGUUGAGGAUAUGGCCUAGGCAGCUGUCGGCCUGAUCUAAGUUGAACUUCAUCAACUUCGGGCGCCUCUUCUUCAGGGAAGUGAAGAGACUCCUCAUCAUCCUCAAACACUCCGAUGGAGAAAGCAGCGUACUCUUUGAGGGAGUCGUCCUCACACUUCUUUAUAUUUUGGUAGAAGCGCGGGCCUUCACCCUUUUCCAUCAUUCGUCAGAGAGCAAGUCGUCUUGAGAGUUGCUGUCGACGCUCUCCUGAUCUUUGGGAACUUGAUGACCCACCUUUUGGGGUGUGGAUCCAUCGAAGGAAAGUCUUGCUUUCAUGCUGGCACUUAGCUUGCUGUUGUGGAUGCCCUGAGAAAGACAUAUUAACAUACUCAGGUUUUGAUAUCAUAUAUUGAUCAUAAGUUGGCCAUAUUUUUGGAGUGGCACGACUCACCGGAUCACUUUGAAAGGUGGCAACAUUCGACGUAGCCGUGUUCUUUCCAUUCGUCAUGCUUUUGAGCAGAUCGGCAUCUAUGGUGCCUUCAUCUAUGAGCUUUUGUAUCAUGUUUUUCACCACAAAACAAUCCUUGAGUGUAUGACCCAAGAUCAGAUGAAAGUAGCAGAAAUUUGGCUCAUCAAUUUUAGAAGCUUCUUCAGGCCUCUUUGGUUUGGGGAGCUCAAUGAGUCCCAAUUCCCUUAAUCCCAUGAAGAGGUCAUCUACUUCUUCAACCGGGAAGGAAUAUUUUUGAUUUUGACGCUCACUAAGAGUUGGCCUCCUAGGGGUGGGUGUGCCUCCCUUAUUUGGUACUCUUGUGGUCAUGCCCCCAGUUUGGAAUUUUUGGGGGGCCACACUCGCCUCCAUGGCUUGCAUUUGCUUUGGCUUUGAGGAGGUUGGCUUAUCUCGCUGGUUAUUUUUGUCCAACGAUGCCUUAUUAAAUGUCCUUGGUGGACGAGACAAGUGGCGCAUGUAGUUUUCUAUGUCCGUAGCCUUUGAGGACAAUUCUUCAAAAGUUAUUGGUCUUACACCCUGCAAGUGAAUAGCCAUGUCUGGACUCAAGUUAUUCAUACACAUACGAACUGCUUCAGGUUCAGUGAUUGGUUGUGGGCAGUGGAGGCUUAAAUUCCUCCACCUAUUUAUGAAGUCUGCAACCUUCUCAUUUGGCCCUUGCAAGGUCUGAGUCAGCUCAGUAAUUCCCACCAUCCUUUGAGUGCUAUAGAAGCGUUCUAGGAAAGCGUCCUGCAUUUGCUCCCAUGUGCGGAUUGAGCCUGGUGGCAACUUGCUGUACCAUGUGAAGGCUGGACCUGAUAAUGUUUGCACAAACUGACGAAGGAGAAGAGCUCCAUUAUGUGCCGUAUCUUGGCAUGCAGCAAGGAAAUGAGCCACAUGUUCAUGUGGUGACCCAGUUCCAUUGAACUUGGUGAACUGUGGUUGACGAUAGUUGUUUGGAAAUGGUACCAUGUCCACUUCCGGCGGGUACGGUUUAACAUAUCCAGGGCGCAUAGAAUAAUGUGUUUGCAUAUACUGAGCUUUCACACCCUCUGAAAUCAUCCUUUGUAUACCUUCAAGAGUGAUUUCGGGUGGAGGACGAGGAGGAGGACCAUUUUGACUGGUCGAGGCAUCAUUGUCACUGUUUCUAGCAUUGGCCACCUGCUCACGGAGGGCGGCUAAUUCUUCUUCUUUUUGUUGCAGAGCAGCCAUCAUUUGUUUCAUCUGCUCUUCAACAGAUUGUCCAUGAUUUGUGGCAAGCACUUGUUCAGCCUCGCCAGACUCACUUUCACUAUGUAGAGAGGGUGAACCCUCACCACUUGAGGCUUGUGGAUCACCACCAUUUGGGGGAUUCGGAUCAACCGAGCCUGCAGUAUCCAAUAAUUCAUUUUCAAAAUUAGAAUGAUCAUUAAAUAGGGGAUUAUAAGACCCUACAUAGAUCGCAUGAUUUUUUGAAUUACCCGAGUUUGUUUGGCUUCGGGUCGUAGGGCGAUGACCCAAUGGAAUUUGCUUGCGAGGCUUCUUUCUCUUGAAGUGUGUAGAGGCUGAGGAAGCAUCACUUGUGUUGGGAGCUUCUUCCUCAACACUCACCGGCAUGGAAGAGAACACUUCAAAACGGUUGCUCCCAACCCUUUUAUGAGGGGGUUGAUAAGGCACCGUUGUUGUACUCUCCUUUCUUGGAGUGGCUGAUUUUAUCUCACUUCGGGUGCCACCAGCAUGGCUUGAUGAAGCAGCCCCUUGUACUCCACUAGAUGUGGAGUUGAUCGGGAUGGCGAGUUCUCUUUGCUUCAAGGUGGCACGUCUUGCGCGUACAUUGUCAGCUUGCUUUGCAUACUUGCCACGCCGUGAGUCCCUUUUUAUGAACUCCUUAUGCUCGGGCAAUUUAGCCAAAACUUCAGCGCGACGCAUGAUCUCACCUUCCAUAUUAUCAGCAGAUGUGGAUGCUCCAGGCAACAAGCUUCUCAAGUCCUGGCAUAUUGUCCUUUCCAUGGACGCCUGGAAAGCUUGCCUCGCAGCAUUUUGGAUCUUGCGAUAUUCCCUGCUUUGUCGGGCCAAAAUUGAAUCUACCACAUAUGCACGUUGUGCAUUAGUCAUGGAGUCAAUUGAGUUGUUGAAGUUGACCCAUGCGUCAUGGAUGUUGCGUUGCCUUCGGCGACGACGCUUUGGGGAUACAGAAUCUUGUACAGAAGGCCACAAUGGUGCUACCUCUGAUGAUAUGGGAUCAGAGAGUGUUGCGGCAGGAUCCACAUGUCCCUUCCUUAUAUCAUUGAGGGAGAGGUGAAUCCCCUGCCACCGAAGCUCAUGUUUAGGUGCUUCAUUUCUAGGAUUAUAGACAAAUGUGGGGAUGAACUCUGGGGCCUCAACCCGAAGUCGAUUUUUCUUUGGGUGUGGUGCACUCUCGGACGAUGAUGAAUUAGACUCUACCAUCAUAGCUUCUCCCUCGCCAGCAAGGGAUACAUGAUAUUUAUCUUGCCUUAGUUCCACCAUCUCUUUAGGAUCGCUUCUGUUGUCAUCACUUGUACUAACAUAGAAGCCAUGAUUGCGUAGCAACUGCUUAUGGAGUUUUUGCUUGUCUUCGGUACCUUUCUUUUUAGAGAAAGCUUGGCUCAUAGCAUGAGAAAUGGCUUCGUUCCACAUCCAAUUCUUCCUCUUUGCAACACCUGGGCAAGCUGGGCAAGUGUAGAUUCUUUUUGUCUGUUGGUUCUCAAUAAAACACAAAUGUACUUGCUGAUCUAUUGUGUCUUCAAUAUCAUCCGAAGAGUUGGAGCUAAGGUUAGGAGAUUGCAUGAGAUGAAGAUUACAACCAUACUCAUUUUGCAACAUAUCUCCGAUCAUGUAUGGCACGACAACAUCGGUGCACGCAUAGUGGAUUUGGCUGUCUGUUAGGAGCUCGUUAUCCCAAUCUUUAUAACGGAGCGCAGUACCUUUCCCUUCCACACGCAUGCCCAACAACACUUGUGCAAGAGUCGCAAGGCUUGGCACAUUAUCCCAAUGCUUGCCUGGUAUUAUGAAUGGCACCAUGGCUUGUAGCUCUACCUUGUUAGAAAGUUCAAUUUGAUGACCUUCUCGUAACCGAUCCAGGUCGUUAGCGAUUGCCACGCCAACGAAAACGUGGUUUUCAUCCGCAAGGAAACUUUUGAGAUCAUCGGGGAUGAUGCCGGCGUGGCCAACCUUGAAAAGAAGACACUUCUUGCCAACACAUAUUUGAAUAAGGGCUAUUUUCUUGCGGUCCGACUCAAACCACUCAGUGUCUAAACCAACAAUGAGGGUCUUAGACUCUUUGCCAUCCCGCAGGAAGUGCUCCACUGUUGUGGUUGAGGAUGUGACUGUGACUAGUAUUUCAUUCCCACCGACCAUGAACGUCUUUUCUUGGUCCAUGGGGUGAGAGGGGUUAUCAUCAGGCUUGGAUGAUGAGUUAUUCUCUGUCAUCAUGGCCUUUCCUUUGCGUGAGUGGGCUUUUUCUCCCACUACUUUAACUUCCUCUUUGUUGGGUUGUAGGCAUCGAGGUGGAUCCCGCAAUACAAUUCCCCUACUUGGAGGUGGUGGACUUGUUGUUGAAGUAACCUUCAUUGGCGGUGCCCCCAGUAUGCUUGGGGCAAAAGUGGCAGAUGAUGGCAUCGCCCCCUUUGUCUUUGGGGUUGAUGCUAAUGACACCCUUGGUGAUGUCGGUGAUGGUGCCUUUUUGGCACGAAUAGGCCACUCCCCCAAUGUGGUGGGGCGGAAAUUUGGUGCUAUCUUGGAGCUUGAGGGCUUAACCCCCUUGGGCUUGGAGGAGCUAGGAGCCACCGAGCUGGUAGGCACGACCUUGCGCCAACUGGUAGCACAUUCAUUGGAGGCUACCAUCCUUGCUUUGGCAGCAGUUCUUCUUGCCCUCCGCUUGGCAGCUUUGGACAUGACAGGUGUGAAGCCUUCCACAGGCUUCGAGUUGACCUCUUGGUCAUGAGCAACUACAGCUGGAGAGGCAGCUGUGGUGUUGAGGGAACUAGCAUUGUUGGAAACUUGAGCGGGACCCAUGGGAACAUCGACCCAGAGGGAACCAAUGCGGAUGGUGAUGAACUCUUGCACACGUCCAACCAUACCUUCAUAUAAGAAAACCAUUUAUGAGUUUUCGUGAAUGCAAAUAUAUGCGUGCAUAUAAUUUUGUUUGACAAUUUAGGUCAAAGCCAAAUGAUGCAACCAUGUUGGAACUCAAAGAUGAGGGGAGAAGUACGUCCCACUGGGCGUGCCAGAAUCUGAUGGCGGGGAAACGGGCGGCUAAGACCCGCCUCCGCGUCAGCAGAGACAAAUAUAAAUUUAAAUGGGACAAUAUGAAAAGAACAGGUAUUGCGAGUCCAUACUUCCAUAAUUCUUAUAUUUAUAUAAAAAUUAUGUUAAUUACAUCUCCGAAGAGAACAUCCCUGAUUAAGAGUUCCAACAUGAGUACAUGGAAAAUAAGAUUACAUCAUAUGGCUUGCUAUUACAAACUACAAAAGAAAAUGAAAUCUUCAGUCUUGUAGUCACGGACGGAUGCAUGCAUAGGCCUGGCAUAAACUUGAACUUGAUAUUCAUCAUUUCUUUUGAGCAUGACACUUUAUUUGUUGAGCAGGUAAUAUAUAUUCCCUUUAUGGUUGGUCGCUAGCAUGUUUAGCUUCUUAGCAACCCGUGAUGACAACACGCACAUUUAAUCCAUGCAAACUUUUGGGAAUGUCAUAUUAUUUAUUUACGACAUAACAUGGUUAAAUAUUAAUAACUCUACAUAUGGCCCUUUGUUUAAUUAUUUGGACAUAUAUGCAUUGAGUUACAUGAAUUUUGACAUGUAUGUACGCCGACGAAGGGAUGUUAAUUUAUUUAUGUAGUAAAUAUUUAUUUGUUAUAUUUUAUCACGUAUGCAUGCACGUAAUUUACUUUGGAGACUAUAUUUGACAUAGUUUUAUUAUAUCAUGCAACAUUUUGACAUAUAUGAUGCACUCAUCCUAUGUCGCAAUAUUUUAUUUGGCUUAAGGCAGCCCCGGAUUUGGCCGUGGCUGAUGUAGUUGAUUUAUUUUAUUAAAGGAAAUAGCAAGUGCUCAUGACACUAUAUUUUGCCUAUGGGUCAGCAUAUAUGAUGUUAUUCAAUUUGAUUUGAUUGACAUCUUAGCUAGGACGUCCUUUUAUGGAUGUAGUCUAACUAAGUGCAAAAUAUGAGUUAAUUGUGAUAUGCAAGGGCUUAAAAUGAUCCACAACAUGGGUUUUGAUUAUUUUAAACGUAAGAUUGGCUGCAUCAUCAUUCAUAGAUGCAGUCUGUUUUGUAGUAAGAUUAUUUAAUAAUUCAGACGGUUUAUUCUAUGCAUAUUACUUGGUUUAUUCUAUGCAUAUGGUUUGAUCGCGUCGCCGUUCAUCCCGGACGUGGCAUGCAGGUUGAUUUGUGUAUGGGCAAGGAAGAUGCUAGCUAGUUUAUAUGGCGUGCACAUAUGCAGUUGAUUUAACUAGCAUGCAAAUUGAUUAGUACUGAGUAUAUAUGCCCACUCAAGAAACAUGACGUGAUGCACAGGUGCAGGAUAUAAGACAACGCUGCUAUUUUAUUAGCUUUUAGCAUGCAAAUUCUUUAUGAUCACAGCACAUGGCAAUGAUAUGCAUGCAAGUUAUUUAUUUUUAUUUGAUGCAUAAUAUGAACAGGGCCGGCAUUGCCGUGGCCAAAACAUAUGCAGACUUAUUUGGAUAUGGAGCCAAAUCGCGUCCAUACCAAUUUUAUCAUAAACCGGUGGAGCCAAAGUGCGUCCACUAAUUUUGUAUCAUGAACCUUUAACCGGAUUGGAGCCAAGAUCGCGUCCAACCAAAAUUUCACCAUGAACAUAACCGGGGUGGAGCCAAAGUGCGUCCACUAAUUUUGUAUUAUGAACCUUUAACCGGAUUGGAGCCAAGAUCGCGUCCAACCAAAUUUUAACCGCGGGAUGGAGCCAAAUCGCAUCCAAACCCGAAUUUUACCAUGGUAUAUUUGCUGCAUUUUUGCACCUUCACCGGGGCACAAAGCCCUUGCGCAUAGCGCAUAGCGCAGUCAUGGCACUGUUGGCCGACCUUUUUCAGCGCAGGGCGCCAGUCAUGUUUGACACUUUUUACCUUAUAUCUAUCAAGGCGUAAUGCCCAUGUACAGAGCACCGUCCUCACUGGCCCUGUUUAUACCAGAAUAAAGGACAAGGCUUGGCGACAAAAUUGCCGGUGGUGCUUGUGGAUGAAGCAGCCAGAGAUGAGAAACAAGGAUGGGGGACAGGAAGAUCAGAGAAGCACCACCCGGCCUCUCACCUUCUGGAACUCGACGAAGCAGCAACUUUUGUGAGCAGGUCUUGAAGAAUCUCUCUGGCUCCUCACGGCAGCAGCAGUCCUCUCGAUCUUUCCAGCGGCAGCCUGGCGGCAAUUUGUUUGCGAGCGCAGCAGCCUGGAAUGUGGAGCGGCAGCCUGGCGGCACUUCGUGUUUCUGAGAGUCCGUCCUUAAUACUUGCCGAUGGAUGUGUAUUUAUAGGCCGCAGCAGAGGAAGUUGCCAGGAGCUUGGGCGCUCCUUCCGAUUUGAUUUUCAUAUUUGCUAAUCCCGCCAUUAAGCUGCACCGGCGCCAUCCUUAAAUCAAACAGAGCGCGCGUCUGGUGAUCGUGCAGUCCAAGGAAGUUGUAGUCGUCAACUUGGUCUUGGUCUCCUGGACUUAGUCACGGUCAAACUGGGAACCAUCGAGAGGUCACGGUUAAAUUGGGAACCAUCGAGACCUGCUGCUCCCUCUUUAUGGCUGGAAGAAUCACUUUUUGUUUACUUUUAAAUUGGAACAAUUAAUUUAAUGAAGGGAAGUAGGGAGUUUAUCUCCUGCCUGACAUACAUAAGGCAUGCUAGGUAGUGUAUAUAUACCAUCAUACUAUACGUUGCAUGAUCUUGUUUUCAUCCAUGCAUAUGUGAAGUGCGUCUGUAUUUACGGCCGGACGUAUAUCUAUAUACGAGACAUAUACUCAUUAUACUUUUAGGCUAUUGCUCUUUUACUUUGCCGAUAUAAAGAGCGUGUUUGUCUAGACACUAGCACAUUCAUGCAUAUGUAUAUAUAUGUACCCCUUUUUAUUUAUCUUUCUUCUCCUUUUUUUAUUAGGGAUAUUGUAUUAUCCCUUAUUUGCCUAUAUCAUAUAGUUAAAUGAAACUUGAUCAGCUAUGCCAUUUUAUUUAAUAUGAUAUAAAUAUCUCCAUAUAUUUCGGGUAUGCUAAAGAUUGGUGUCAACAGGAUAGAGAAAUAUAAUACUACUUAUUUAUUCCUGCAGCACCGUUUGAGAAUAUUCAUGGUCCGACGUAUUACGUAUGUGCAUAUAUAUAUAUAUAUAUAUAUUUGUAUAAGUUAUUAUCUUUUCUUUUUCUCUAUUUGAAUAAUCAUCAGGUCACUUGUGUGAUAGGUUAUUCUAUCAACACUCUUAAUCAUUCGGAACUGUAUACACAUAUACGCUUUCUCAUCAUGCAUAUUUGGAUAUAGCAUGUAUACAUAUUUAUUAUACCUCUUCACCCAUGUAUAUUUUGGAGUGUACGAUAUCAUUUCUUCCAUUAUUCGUUUCUAUCUUAUAUGGAAUUUGGCCAUAUAUACUAUUUACAUUUAUUUAAAGCAAAUAUUGCAUAUAUUAUCAGUGAGCCAAAGACCGUGUCAACAGUCUUUUGGUACUUUGCGCUUUCUUCGUGGUAUGGCACAUUUUCACUUGUUGCACUAUAAUUUCUGCAAAAUAUAAUCACUAUGGUACAAGUGGAACUUGUUAGUAAUAAAAUGCAUGUGUGUAUAUAAUAUGAUUGCUUUUUCUCCUUUUGGAUCAAGUUGGCAGUUUAUAAUUGGUCUAUAAUGACUGCCAACAACCACCUAAAAGGUGGGGCCCACCUGGCAUAGGCCAGGGGCGGGCGCCCCACCAGUCAGGGGCGGCUGCCCGAGAGGUUCCACCAAUCAGGUGCAACCUUGCAGAUCUUGCCUUCACCGCCUUUGAGGAGUAAUCUUGAGCGUACAUUUAAGUCAGUUUGAUCUGAGGGCUGUGGUGCUUCCUAGGGGGCUAUAAAUAUGACCCUAACCCCCUAGAGAGGAGUUCAUUAUUCUCUGAAGAAUUUAGAAUUAGACAGAGAGGGGUCCCUCGAAUCUAUCUCUUUAAGGUUCUUAACCACCAUCUCAAUUAGAUCUCUAUAGUUCUAUUGCAUAGCUACAUAGGAAUUGAUCUAGAAGGAGUCAAGUUAAUCUUGGAGUCCGGAUCUAUCUUUAUUCUUAGUAAAUUCUUAUUCUUCUUUGUGAUAUUCAUAUUAGUUCUUGCUACUAUGAAUAUGACUUUGAUCUAUUUGAUUAUAUCAGAAUUCACUAUUCUAUUUGCUUAUGUUCUCAAUUAUACUGUUAUUAGUCUACUUUGAUUACGUCACACCCAAAUUUCAAGAACGAAAUAGAGUGCAUAAAGGACUCAUGUGCAUCGCAGAAUCAGUCGCACACAUAAGUUGACAAAUCUCAAAUAGUACCAUCACAAUGUUUAUUACAUAGCAGAAUAGUAAUUAUUACAUAGUCUUAAACAAAUAAAAAUACUAUCAACGGAAGCACCACACAGGGACACUAUCGACUGGUUGACUCCAAGCCUAGUACUCAUAACGGUAGUCCUCAUUCCAGUCAUCUUCAUUAACAUAUCCUAAGGUGUUGUGAAAUAGUAAGAGUGAGCACAUAUCGUACUCAACAAGUAUAACCUGGGGUUCAUGAGGCUCAAUUAGCUGACACUGGUUUGACUACAUUUAGCUUUUAUAUGUAGAUAGCAUGUUUAUAUUUAGAUAGCAGAUGUCAAGGUAGCAUAGUAAAUCCCAUAACCACAUGACCAAAUGUAUACAAGAGUUAUGAAUAACACAUAUAAACAACAUAAUAAACCAUCAUUUAUCAUCAUUAAUCAUGUUCAUCAGUGUCCAUCUAUUCCGUCAAUUUUUCGGGUCACCCAUAUCUGUGGGCACGGCUAGUAUACCAGAUUUAACACUCUGUAGAGGUUGUACAUCUUUACCCAUGAGUCGUGAUUUACUGUUUCGCCUGAGGUGAUCGGCCUCUUAACCCACUACCAAGGAAGGUCGGCAGGGAUCACUAUGAAGCCUUUCAAAGAUUUUGUCUAACAAGUUAGGGCCAUUAGAUUCACUCGGCAGGUAGAUAUAGAGCCCCUUCCAUGGCACAUAACACGGAGCCUAUACACACGAACAGAGGCCGCACUAUACCCAACCUGUUUAGCUAUUCUUACGCCAUUUAAGGUAACCACUAACAAGCUAAAAAAAAGAUCAUCAUACUGAGCUAAAACCAGAGCCAUAUAGCCCUCAUGGUUGUACGAGUUGUCCUAGCUUUUUCCAAGGGAUAAGUCCUUAUGGAGGGUCAAGAUCAAUCUAGCAAAAGCCAGAAUUCUUUUCACCCUUUAUGUUCAUGUUGCUAGAAAGCUUAUUUUUAUUGUUUAUUGUAUAUCCAAAUAUUCAUGUUACAAGAUCAUAGAUUAUAAUCAAGCACUAGCAAGAACUACCCAAAAUGCAUAUCCAAAUAGGUAUCAAGGAAUUAAAGGUAACAAUCAUCUAUGAUUUUGCUAAGGUUGUUAAGGUGGACACAUGCAUAUGAUAUAUGUAUUAAAAGUAUAUAGGUAACAAGGAUGGUCCCAAGUUAUACUUGCCUUGAUCAAAGCUCUCUUGGGGCUGCUGGUGGUCAUCAAAGACUUGGCCUUGCUCACCAAUGUAUUGCUCACCAUCUACACCCGAUCAACAAUCAACAACACGCAUUCCAAUGGAGACAACCAUACACAAGGCAAACAAGCUAUAAUUAGAACAUUACACCAAUAGUGAUAAAACAAAUAUUAAAGUUUAUAAAAAUAUUCUACACAGCACUACGAUCACACAAACGUAAAGUUCACGAAAAUCGGAAUUAAAACGUAGAAGUUAUGAAUUUUCUAAGAUUUUCUAUAGAAGAAUAAUUAAUUAAAUGCUACUGUGAAAUUAAAAAGUUUCAAACCAGUGAAUCAGAACUACUAACAUGUAGAGCUCGCAAAGAUGAAUCUAACAGAAUUUGAAUGGACCAAGUCGGAGUUAAAAUGAGCAUUUUACGAGCAAAUUAAACCCAGUGGCAUUUCUUUAAAUAUAGGAAAGCGUAAUUUGAUUCAAACCGACAAAAAUACGUUUUUGAAACAGCAACACGCCUUUUCUAAAAAUGCCAAGGACCGUGGGUUGUAUUCUAAAGAAGUUCAAGGACUCUUCAACAAAAUAGCCCCAUGAAGGGGUAUCUUCUGAUUUGGGCCACCGAUCGGACGGCUCAGAGUUCAUCUGGAGGAACUCCGGCCAGCCGGCCACCGGAGCGAGGGUCCGGCGCGGCAGCGCCAUGGCUGGGCGAGCCGAGCUUGCCGGAGCUUGCAGUAUGGCCGACUUCGAGCACCAAACUUCGAAAGUAGAUCACCAGGAGAACGAGGGGCUCACCACGAACCCGUCUAGUGGCUUCACCAGAAGCUAGAAGGAGCAAGGGAGGCUUGCGGCGGCGGCGACUUUCUUUCAAUCUUGGCGAGAUCCAAAACCAAGGAAACACUCAGCUAGGGCUCGGGUACGGCGGCUAAGUUGCAAAAGGAAACCUGCAGAGCGAUGCAAGGGCUUUAUAGGGUCUCAGUUGGCGCGCUAGGCAAGAAAAUCCCGUCGUUUACGGAAUCGGUUUUAGCCGGUUCGAUGGGGAGCCCGGCUCGGCCACGUGGGGGAGAAGAAGGAAGGCGCUGUCAGGUAGGGCUAGUGCGUCAGCUGGAUAGGGAGAGAGGGGUGGGGCGCGCGUGGCCUGCUCGGCCAGGGCCACUAGUUGGGCCGGACGAGCGGAAACCAGGGGGAUUGGUUGUCCGAGGGCUAGGGGGGUUGGGCCUUGGCCACUGGCCACUAAGCCGAGAGGAGGAACUUUUCUUUUUUUCUUUUCCAGAGAAUUUCCAAAUAAUGUUUUGGAUCAAAACAAAUUAAAACCAACAGCCAACAGCACAAAUAAUUUAUUAUGCUCCUGCAUGAAUGCAUAAAAAAGUUUCUAACCUAAUGAUAAAUUUUAAUUUCAACAAAAUUUAUUUAUUUACUAAAUUAAAUGCUCACAAAAAUACUUAAAUUAAACAAAUUAAAUCCUGUUAAUAAAAAAUCAAAUCUCGGGUGUUACAAACUCUACCCCCUUAAAAGAAUCUCGUCCUCGACAUUGAACAGUGCUUACUCAACAAACUGUGGAUAUGAUUUUCUCAAAUCAUCCUCUCUUUCCCAAGUUGCUUGUGCUUGUGAAAACUGAUUCCAUUGCACUUUGCACAUUCUAAUGAUCCAACUUCUAGUAACUCUCUCAGUUGUUUCCAAAAUCUUAACCAGAUAUUCCUCAUAUAUGAGAUCCUAUUUCACAGAAGCUUCUCUUAACUGAUUGAAUAAGUCAUCAAUCCUAGGCGAAAGACACUUAGUCUUGGUAGUAACUUCCUUGAGUGACCGGUAAUCCACGCACAUCCUCUGACUACCAUCUUUCUUAUCAACAAAAAUAACUGGGGCACCCCAAGGUGAAGAACUAUGAUGAAUGAACCCUUUGUCUUACAAUUCCUUUAUUUGUUUCUUAAGUUCUUCUAAUUUAUUUACCCCAAUUCUAUAUGGUCUUUUAGCUAUAGGUGCAGUACUAGGUUGUAAUUCAAUAAUAAAUUCAAUGUCUCGGUCAGGUGGCAUACGUGGCAACUCAUCUGAAAAAUAAUCUAGAAAUUUAUUCACUACAUAGUCCUGAAGAUCAACAUCAUCAUCCAGCUGAUUCAAUGUAGCUGUGGGUGGAGCCUGCACUACUACAUAACACUAAUUCGCUCUCCCUUUGAUGUUGUCAUAACUACUACUUUCUCUUUACACUUAAUUUUCGUGGUAUAUUUCUUCAUCCAAUCCAAACCCAAGAUCACAUCUAUGCCUAAAGUUCUCAUAACCAUAGGACUGAUAGGGAAAUCUACGCCCCUUAAAGAAAGACUUGCUGAGGGGCAACAAAAAGAAACUGGUAUAGUUCAUCCCGGUGAAUUUACUAGCAUAGGGGUUUUCAUGGCAACUAGUGGAAAGCUAUGAACUCUAACAAAUGCUUGUGAAAUAAAUGUAUGUGAAGCUCUAGAAUCAAAUAAAACUGUAGCAAGGAUAGAGUUGAUGCUGAACGUCCCAUCAUAAUUUCUGGUCCUUCCUGAACUGUCUCUGCAGCCACAUGAUUCACCUUUGCCCCAUGAGAAUUAGACUUUUGUUUGUUGUUCUGCUGGUUGAACCUCUCUGGACAGUCAUAUGACAUAUGUCCUUCCUUUCCACAGCAAAAGCGCCUACUAGGGGUAUUGGGAGCACUUCUCAUCAUAGGGGUGGCAUUUGAAUUUCCUGAACAGAGUGUCUGCUGACCACUCUGCUGUUGAUUAUGAUUAUGCUGCUGGUAUGGAGGGCGCUGAUUCCCAUUUUGUGUUUGGUUUUGGAAAAGCUGAGGUUGUUGGUUGCGGUCCCAGUGACUAACCUGUCCCUGAAACCUCUGUUGAUCGUCCUGCUGAGAAUUGAAGCACUGGCGAUUAUUGCUACCAGAACCCUGUGCUAGCAUCCUCCUUUUCUUUUGCGCAUGUUAUCUAACACAAUAGCAUGAUUCACAAGAGCCUGGAAGGUAGGAUAAGUAUUUCCAGCCAACUGCAAUCUGAGUUCACAAUAAAGACCUUUCAUGAAGAGACGCUGCUUAUCAGCAUCUUCCCUGACAUCAUUUGGGGCAUAGCAGGCCAACUACUCAAAUGUGUCAUGAUACUCAGCCAUAGUCAUAGAGCCCAUUCUGAGAGAUCUGAAUUCCUCCUGCUUAAGCUCCAUCAUUCCUUCAUUGAUAUGUCAUGCUCUAAAAUCUCUGCAAAAAUUAUUGCCAAGUGAUAGCAAGAGCAUGGUUGGGGCGAGCAGCUUGGUAAGACUCCCAUCAAGUCUGAGCUGCUCCCUGAAGCUGCCCAGAAGCAUACAACACCUUUUCCAUAUCAUUGCAAUGUGCUAUAUUCAGUUGUCUCUCUACAGCACGUAGCCAAUCAUCUGCCUCCAUAGGGUCUGCAGAGUGAGUAAACAAUGGAGGUCUUCCCUUCAUAAAUUCUCCAUGCUUAUCCUUCACACGGACCGGUGGUGGUGGUGGUGGUGUAGGUUGAUCCUGAAGGUGUUGCAUAAAAGCAUGCAUCAUCUCAUCCUGAGUCUGCAUGAGCUCUUCCACAGAAAUUGGGGCAUUAGCACCCCUACCAUGGCCUCUGCCUCUGCCGCUUCUCCUUGCUGCCAUCUGCAUUCCAAGGUACAUAAACAGACGUUAGUAUUAUCUAACAUGAAAAAUAUAAGAGAUAAUUGAAUCUGAAUUUUUCUAGGCGACAUCCAACAUCAGCAGUUCAGAAAAUUGUUGACGGUUCAUAAGUAUCAAUUUUAAUUAUUAAAUAAACAAGAGAAAGGACCAAUAUGCAAACAACACCAAGAAUUAGGGUUUGAUCUGACAGAAUUCCACGAGUUUUGUUGUUUAUUUGUUUCUGCAGGGGGUUAUCAGGAAAUAAGGAAGAAAGGCCCACAUGUCGGGAUUACAUAGAGAUAUUAAUGCACCACACAAUUUUCUACCAUCUAGAAGACUCCAGAAGCCACGGGAACGAACGGGAAGGCGACUGGGCCCGGGGGUAGGGCUCCCGCCCUCCCCCCUUGGGCGCCCGCCCUGACCUAGAGUCUAAUCAGGACUCUCUUCGGGGAUUACGCUCCACUAACCUAAAGGAUCAAGGAUAACCGUUCAAUCAAUGUCGGUUUGAUCCGAUGGCCCACGUUCACCUGAGGGGACUAUAUAAGCAGACCCCCUGGCCCCUGGAGGAGACAAGUUCAUCAUAGAGUUGAGACUAUCCCUCGAAGGAAUACCUCUCCUCUAAAUAGACUUUUGGCUUAGCAUCCAAUGUGAGUAGAAUUAGAUCUUCUAGUUUCUACUAGAUUGAGAGAGAUAGAGUAGAGGUGUAGAUCGGAGGAAGCCCGGCCUGUCGGUGUCUACUCCGAGGUUGUACCUGCGGGAUCAAGAAUUCUAACCCGAGGCUUGCUCCUAGGAUUCUUCAGUAUUUCGACUUCUAAAUUCUAGUAAGUUCUUGGUUUAUUGUUCUUUGGUUUAUGAGUUUACUUUAAUCUCUUCGCGUAGAGUUUAGAGUAAUCAUCUCUAGCGUAGACGUGGUGUUUGGGCUAGAAUACUCAUAGAUAUCCCGUCACUAGCUGGACCAUGGUAGUAGCGAGGAACGUGACAUUUCUGAGUUACCUUUGCAGCCCAUAUCCCAUUAGUAGGAUCGAUAGGGUUUAUAGGUGCAGGUUGAACAUCCUCUGUGGUGUCUAGAUUCCGUAAGCUUUCCCAAUAGAACAGUAGAUUAUCCUUACCAAGGUUAGAACGAGACUACGGUUGCAGUCUUCUCUAUAUAUCACUCACAUCGAGAAACAUUCUUUGUAGCCUAAAGGUUAGUAGUAAUAGACUGGGUUAGUCAGAUGCACUAUUUCUCCUAGUGGUAAUAAAAUAAAUACGAUACUCUGGAUAACCUCCCGGGUGAAGUGCUCAUCGAUAUCCGUGCGCUUGCGGAUCAAUUCCUUAUUGCGUUCCCAAAUAUCAACAAGCAUUCCUGGCGCCAUUGCCGAGGAGAAAGACGGUUUGCUGAGAUAAUGUAACACCCUAAAAAUUGUCUUUUCGAAAUAAAGCUAAAUUAAUUCAAUUUUUGUAUGGUUGUGCUCAUGGAACAUAGGAAAAAUAAUAUUUUUCAUUUAAUUAAAAUUUAUCAUAGGAUAUAGCGACACUUUUGUGCACUCAUGCUCCUGCAUUUCAUUUAUUGUGCUGAGUGGUUUUACUAAAGUUCAAAAGUAUUUCAAAGUGAUUUUAAAAUGGAUUUGAAAAUGACUUUGGAGUAAAGGAAAGGAAAUUAGAAAGUAUAAAAAAAAAAAAAAACCUCUCACCCCUCCGUUCUGGCCCGAAGGCCGAAACCUUUCCCCCCCCGCCCGCGACCCAGCUUUUCCCCCGGCCAAUUCGCUGCGGCCCAGCACGCCAUUUCCCCCUCCCCCUCGCCUCGGCCCAACGCGGCCCACGAACGCGCACGCGCUGGCCCUCCCGUCCUCACCGUCUCCCUUGGCUGGCAAGCGGACCCCGCGCCUUCGGUCACCGACAGGUGGGCCCCGCAAGUCAGGGGUUUUCUCCUACCUUGAGUCGGGGGCGAGCAGGACUCUGUCCCGACCCGAACCCUGAGAUCCGUUUCCAAAUUCUUUCGUGAUUUUGCGUGAUUCGUGGCUUUUGGUUCUAUAAAUAGGUUCGGGAAUCAUGACGCCUUCUUUCCUUCCUGUUUGCGUGGACGCGAGCUCCAUCCUGCCCUAGCCCAGCUCGUAAGUGCCGCCGCCAUCCUGCAGAUCGACGCCGAGCAUGGAUCGGCGCUUCCACCGUGAUAUUGCCUCCGUAAGCUUGAUGUCGGGCUUCGAAAAGAAUUUGCGAAGUCCCCGGACCCUUUUUCCCCUCGUUCUUUGCUUUGGUUUGAUCUCAAUUGGGUGCCGAAUCCUCAGCAGGAACUUCUAUCCGCGAAAUCACGUGGCCGGCUAAUCCCGAGCCUUCCCCGGCCUCGUAAACUCCCUCGGUGAGUUCCCUAUGUUCCUCUCUUGCUUCCCGUGCUUUCGGUUCAAUGAAUCGUGCAUUAAAUCGCGUAAUCAUCUAACUCCGGCGAGCUCCUCCUCCUUCCGGCCAUGGCGCCGCUGGGAAACUCGCCGCCAGCCACCGCGGGCUCCCUGGAAGCCUCCUGGGCCGUAGAAUCUUAAAUCGACGCACGAGAUUAGAAGUUACCCUUUCAGGGUAACAUUUGCUAAAGAGUCCCCGAAAAAGUUCAGAUUAGAACCCGCCGUCCCUUGGCGGAUUAAGUGGUUUACGCUUUUCGUUUCGGAAAACGUAUUCUUACCGACUUAAAAGAAAAUACGUUUUCUACUAUUUACGGUUUUGCCACCAGAUUUAAAUCACUUAUAACAUGCUCAUUUUUAAUCCGUUUUUGUCCAGUCAAAUUGCGUUAGAUUCGUCUUUUCGAGAUCUACGUGUUUGUAUCACUGUCUUCUCAGUAUGAAACUUUUUAAUUUCGUGAUACUAUUUAAUUAAUUAUUAUUCUACAGGAAAUCUUAGAAAAUUCAUAUCUUCUACGUUUUAACUCUGAUUUUCGUGAACUUUACGUUUGUGUGAUCGUAGCGCUGCGUAGAAUAUUUCGAUAAACUUUUAUAUUUGUUUUACUACUGUUUGGUGUAUUGUUCUAAUUAUAGUUUGUUUGCUUCGUGUAUGAUUGUCUACAUUGGAUUGCGUGUUGUUGAUUGAUGAUCGGGUAUAGACGGUGAGCGAUACGUUGGUGAUCAAGAUCAAGCUUUUGACGACCAGCAGCAGGCUCAAGAGAGCUUUGAUUAAGGCAAGUAUAGCAUUUGGAUUUUAUAUUCUGUGACCAUGAUCGUGUGACUAGAUUAAUGUUAAGUAAUAAAUGAUAAAUGACUUUUUAGCCACUUGAUGAUUUAUCUGUAAGUGAUAACCGGGACAACAGUGCAACCAUGAGGGCUAUAAUGGCUCUGGCUUUAGCUCAGUAUGAAGACCUUUUCUAGCUUGUUAGAGGUUACCCGAAAGGGCGGAGGGGCUGAACCGACACGGGUAUAGUGCGAGCCCCUGUCCCUAUGUGUAUAGGCUGCGCGUCAUUGUGCCAUUCGGAAGGGGGGUAUCUAUAUCUGCUCGCAAAGGAAACCUUGCGGCCCUAACAUGUUAGACGAACUUUUGAAAGGCUUCAUAGUGAUCCCUGCCGACCUUCCUUGGAAGUGGGUUAAGAGGCUGAUCACCUCGGGCGAAAGGGUAAAUCAUGACUCAUGGGUAAAGAUGUGCAACCUCUGCAGAGUGUUAAAAACUGGUAUACUAGCCGAGCUCACGGUCAGGAGCGGCCUUGGGGAUUCUUGCUGCGACGAUGAUGAUUCUUGUGUGUUAAUAUGCUCAUUAUUUAUUAUUUAAUGCUUUACAUUAUUUAUGUCACAUUGAUCAUGAGAUUGUGGGAUCUAUACAAUCUAGUUGCUAUACUUGUGGAGUUCGACAUGGACUCACUCUUGCUAUUUCCCCCAAACCUCAGGAGAAGUUAGGCUUGUGAUCAACCAGUCAGUUGGAUCCUGUAGAGAGAAGUUAAUACCCGAAGUUUGGAGUUGUCUAUCCGCUGUUUGCU
RNAcentral lists this long non-coding RNA (25406 nucleotides) under Sorghum bicolor (sorghum). RNAcentral describes it as "long non-coding RNA (SBIC_LNC005262)". The stretch from base 3787 to 3893 matches the Rfam family "Plant small nucleolar RNA R71". Lineage: Eukaryota; Viridiplantae; Streptophyta; Magnoliopsida; Poales; Poaceae. The record is from RNAcentral.